GUGAAGGCAGACACCUCGCUUUAAUGCUGAGAUCAUUUAUCACCUGUUAUGAAGGAGAGAGUUCAUUGGCAUCCUCCUGUGCAGGGAGACAUGUUCCGGUUCCAAAGUGUUCCAUUCUUGGCAUGGUAAGACAAAACAUCACCUGCUUUGAAGUUUGGAAUCUAUAUAAAUUUUGAUUUAUAUAGGUUACCAUCUUGUCUGACACAGAAGCAUCAUAGGAGAGACCAAGAGGAAGCAGCUUUUUCAUUGUUUUGAAGAACAACUAUAUCUCAUUUACGAGAAACAGCUAGUAAGGUAGCUUUGCCUCCAAAUAAACUGCUCCUCUCAGGAGCUGUCAGUGACUUAGGGGUAUUCCCUUGCCAUCUGUGCUACGUCCCUUAAUUUUUGGGGGUUUCUAUUCGGGCUUAGGGGCCCUCACAGGUGGUCACAGCCCAAGAAAGGAAGUAAGGAAAGAGUCUAUUCUUCCACCUCAUGUAUUCAUGGGAUGCCCUCACUGACAAGCCACCUGCCCAGCACUGAACCAGGCCAAAAGGAAGGUGCCUUCAAGGGUACUAUGAGCUCUGGCAGUUCUGGAACACUGGGUCAUUCAUAUAGGUCUGCAAAGGUGGGUGUAAGGCUGGAAGCUCUGGGGAAUCGUCGCAUACCUUUUAUUUUUAAAUCUUGGUUCGUGGGUGUUUCCAAUUCACUUCUUUUCCUGCAACAAGGACUUGUUGCCAAGUGAUACCAUGGGAACAGAAUAGCAGAAUGCUAUUUGGAGAGCCAAAAUGCCAAGAGUUAAACUAUAUUGUGCAUUAAGAAACAGUAGUGGAAGGAAACUACCUAGCAGGACACCUCUAACACGUUCAGUGAUGAGAAAACAAAGGAUAUAGUGAGAAGCAGAGGGACAACAGAAGAUGUUGUCUACUUCAGAGAAAAAGCAAAAUAAACUUUUUCUCCAAC
RNAcentral lists this long non-coding RNA (939 nucleotides) under Coturnix japonica (Japanese quail). Its description in RNAcentral is "lncRNA (ENSCJPG00005012622.1)". Lineage: Eukaryota; Metazoa; Chordata; Aves; Galliformes; Phasianidae. The record is from RNAcentral.